Molecule: ribosomal RNA, 497 nt
Filed under: uncultured bacterium
Lineage: Bacteria
Description: partial 16S ribosomal RNA
Rfam family: Bacterial small subunit ribosomal RNA
Source: RNAcentral
GACGAACGCUGGCGGCGUGCCUAAUACAUGCAAGUUGAGCGCUGAAGGUUGGUACUUGUACCAACUGGAUGAGCAGCGAACGGGUGAGUAACGCGUGGGGAAUCUGCCUUUGAGCGGGGGACAACAUUUGGAAACGAAUGCUAAUACCGCAUAAAAACUUUAAACACAAGUUUUAAGUUUGAAAGAUGCAAUUGCAUCACUCAAAGAUGAUCCCGCGUUGUAUUAGCUAGUUGGUGAGGUAAAGGCUCACCAAGGCGAUGAUACAUAGCCGACCUGAGAGGGUGAUCGGCCAAAUUGGGACUGAGACGCGGCCCAAACUCCUAAGGGAGGCAGCAGUAGGGAAUCUUCGGCAAUGGACGAAAGGCUGACCGAGCAACGCCGCGUGAGUGAAGAAGGUUGUCGGAUCGUAAAACUCUGUUGGUAGAGAAGAACGUUGGUGAGAGUGGAAAGCUCAUCAAGUGACGGUAACUACCCAGAAAGGGACGGCUAACUACGUG